CCCAACAAUAGAUAAUUUAACUCGUAGCAAGGGGUACACAUGAAGACUCCUCACCAAGAGGGAAGCACUAGAUAGAACAAAAAUUAAACAAUUAUAGAAGACUGUUAACUGAGAUUGUAAGCCGCAGCCAGGCAAAACGCGUUUCCACCAAAAAAUACCCGGCUUGGUCAAUAUUGGCUUGGUCAAUAUUCGUUUGAAAUCGGAAAUCAAAUAUUGGAAGUCAAAUAUCAAAACGAACCGUUUUCUGUUGAUCUGUUAUCCUAUUUUAAGACAUAAUCCAUAAUCCAAUGACCGAAAGUUCCACGGACCCACAACAUUCUCUCUGCUUCAUAUUGAAAAUGUGUAAAUGUAGGUGGGGAAAGACGGGGUAGUGCAGAAUAGGGUCCGCGGAAAACGAAGUACUCUGUUGGUUCUCUGUCACUCUGUUUUCUGUGGGAUAAGUAAUGAACGAAUCGGUUACAAAUUACCAUACACAGAUCAUCGUACACGGACCAACGACACUUGGGGAAAUCUGUCAAUGUUUCCCUUACCGAAAACGGAUAACGAGCAAGUAAAUCAAAACAAAUAUUAGUUUGCCUGUUUAGUUAAUAACGAUUGGCCACUCCAUAGACACACGGUCAAGCGUUUGUUGUGUCUGCUUGUUUCGUUUUUGACGCUACAAUGAUUUGUACUCAUGUACACGGAUCCCAGCGAAUGCAGGCGGAUGUCAAGCCUAUGUCCGAGGAAACUGGAGGAAACGCCUAACAUACCUUUUUAAACAUAAACAAGACGGAAUGAACGGAAUUGUUGGUUCAUCAUGCCCCCGUUUUGUUCUACUCGUCGUUUAUUCGGGAUUUCUCACUAACGACCUCCGGCUGACAGCCUUGCCUAAUACACCGUUUGACCCAAGUUUUUGUCUGCAUAACGCAGCAUGCUGUUCACUUCUUCAAUUGUUCCAUACAUUCAUCCAAUGAAUCCACAUCAGGGUUUUCUUGAGCACCUUAUCAAUUCGGUUCUGCAGUCUUGUUGUUGCAGUCCUUACCGCUUCGCGUAUCCUUUUCGCUCUUAUAAGCUGGUCAGUGGACAUGUUUGCUCCUGUUUAUCUCCACAUUCUUCAGAGUAACAUUCUUGUCUUCCUGCCAAGAAAUCCCGGGUUUUGGCACCAACUUUGUGGUGUACAAACAGGAGAUCAUGUUACUUUUUGUUGAAUUUGUCCUUUUUAUUCCCUAUUAUUAUACAAGCUAAAACUGAAUGAGUGGAAGAUGUAAUGAACAACAAAACAAUCAAAACUGCCAGUGAAAGAAAAAAGCACAAACCUACGCCGUUCAAGAAAAAGAAACCGCCCCCCCAGGUGUGUCCCAUCCCUAUGAUAACAGCCUGAUUGCAAUUAAUCAGCCCAGUCGCUGUCCACAACCGAGUGGCGCUGAAAGGGAAACACCUCGUUUUGGUCUACACAUCACCAUUAGAACCUCAACCCAUAUAGUUGCAACAACAGAGGUGAAUGAGUCUGGAGAUGCCGUAGUGAACAUAAUGCUGCCUGCAACAUCAUCCAGCAUGACCAGUUUGGUGGUGGGUCAGUGAUGGUUUGGGGAGGCAUAUCCUUGGAGAGUCGCACAGAUCUCCACAUGCUAGCCAAUGGUACCCUGACUGCUGUUAGGUACUGGGAUGAAAUCAGACCUUAUGCUGAUGCAGAGGGUUCCUCCAGGUGUAGGACAAUGCCCGACCUCAUGUGGCCAGAGUGUGUAGGCAAUUCUUGGAUGACGAAGGCAUUGAUGCCAUUGACUGGCCAUCACCUUCCCCAGAUGUGAAUCCUAUUGACAACCUCUGGUAUGUUAUGUAUCGGUAUAUCUGAUGCCACCAAGUAGCGCCACAGGCUGUCUAGGAGCUCACUGAUGCCCUGAUCCAGGUCUGGGAGGAGAUCCCCCAUGACACCAUCUGCCAUCUCAUCCAGAGCAUGCCCAGACAUUGUCGGGAGUACAUACAGGUACG
Molecule: long non-coding RNA, 1968 nt
Organism: Esox lucius (northern pike)
Lineage: Eukaryota; Metazoa; Chordata; Actinopteri; Esociformes; Esocidae
Source: Ensembl